Non-coding RNA from Salvelinus sp. IW2-2015, 542 nucleotides. The record is from RefSeq and is a predicted model, not a curated record. Lineage: Eukaryota; Metazoa; Chordata; Actinopteri; Salmoniformes; Salmonidae.
AGUCAUCAGCCAGAGGUAACCUGUCUCUCUCUCUCUCUCUCUCUGUAAUCCUCUAGGUGAUGGUCGCGGUCUCUCCUCCCUGACUAGUGGUACCGAGGACCUGUUUGACCCUCUCCCCAGCAGGAAGACCCCAGAGUCCUUCCUGGGUCCUAAUGCAGCAUUGGUCAACCUGGACUCACUGGUCACCAAGCCUCCUCAGCCUGCUCCUAUUGUCAACCCCUUCCUCGCCGCCGCAGGAGCAGCCCCUGUAGCCGCCCCCCAGGCCAACCCGUUCCAGAUGGGCCAGCCUAACCCUCCGACCCUAAACCAGAUGAGGGUCAGUCCGAUGCCGGGCCUGAGUCUGGGAGGGGAGCAGGGUUCAGCAGCUUGUCCUCCAUGGCAGAUCCUCUACCCCUCUCCUCCCUGGGGAUGGUCCCUCUGACGGGCCACAUGUGCCUGGGGUAGGAGGAUGGGCGUAUCCCAAUGUCCCAGCCCCUCUUCAGCUCAGCUCUGCCCCCUACACGGGCACACAGCCCCCCGGACCACCAACCCUUCCUGUUGUG